This 254-nucleotide ribosomal RNA is filed under the name uncultured bacterium. RNAcentral describes it as "partial 16S ribosomal RNA". It matches the Rfam family "Bacterial small subunit ribosomal RNA", at positions 524 to 776 of the family's 1533-position model. The record is from RNAcentral.
UACGUAGGGGGCAAGCGUUGUCCGGAAUCAUUGGGCGUAAAGAGCGCGUAGGCGGCCCAGUAAGUCCGCUCUGAAAGUCAGAGGCUCAACCUCUGAAUGCGGGUGGAUACUGCUGGGCUAGAGUCCGGAAGAGGCGAGUGGAAUUCCUGGUGUAGCGGUGAAAUGCGUAGAGAUCAGGAAGAACACCGGUGGCGAAGGCGCUCUGCUAGGCCGCAACUGACACUGAGGGACGAAAGCUAGGGGGAGCGAAUGGG